GUGUGCGUAAUUUAAAUAAAAUAUCAAGGUUGUGACCCUGACAAUAGGAAAUAUCCUCACACAC
RNAcentral lists this transfer RNA (64 nucleotides) under Psammophis schokari striped form. RNAcentral's name for it is "tRNA-His". Lineage: Eukaryota; Metazoa; Chordata; Lepidosauria; Squamata. The record is from RNAcentral.